RNAcentral lists this unclassified non-coding RNA (303 nucleotides) under Hevea brasiliensis (rubber tree). The record is from RNAcentral. Lineage: Eukaryota; Viridiplantae; Streptophyta; Magnoliopsida; Malpighiales; Euphorbiaceae.
AGAAGAAAAUCAAUUUUGAGAAGGACAAGGGAUUAGACACAAAGCAGAUGCAGAAUAUACACCGACAGAGGUAACAUGAAUUAAUCAAAUAAUAUAAAAUAAAGAUGAGACCUUAGAUGCUUUGAACUGCAUGGGUAGUCAGUUUGUGAGACCAAGAAGUGACGAAGUUCAAGGCUUUCUGCGGACCAGCUUCAGACAGAAUGCGAAGUCGAUGAAGCCCAACCCACCGUCACCACCAAACUGCUAGUUGGAGGAAAUUAAAAAAAAAAAAAGCCACCAAGUUGAACCGGGCCUUAAUAUUUU